UACGGGGGGGGCAAGCGUUGUUCGGAAUUACUGGGCGUAAAGGGUUCGUAGGUGGCCAAUUAAGUCAGACGUGAAAUCCCUCAGCUUAACUGGGGAACUGCGUCUGAGACUGGAUGGCUUGAGUGCAGGAGAGGAACGCGGAAUUCCAGGUGUAGCGGUGAAAUGCGUAGAUAUCUGGAGGAACACCGGUGGUGUAGACGGCUUUCUGGACCGUAACUGACGCUGAGACACGAAAGCGUGGGUAGCAAACAGG
Molecule: ribosomal RNA, 253 nt
Filed under: uncultured bacterium
Lineage: Bacteria
Description: partial 16S ribosomal RNA
Rfam family: Bacterial small subunit ribosomal RNA
Source: RNAcentral